Molecule: non-coding RNA, 446 nt
Filed under: Camelus ferus (Wild Bactrian camel)
Lineage: Eukaryota; Metazoa; Chordata; Mammalia; Artiodactyla; Camelidae
Description: Eukaryotic large subunit ribosomal RNA
Rfam family: Eukaryotic large subunit ribosomal RNA
Source: Rfam by way of RNAcentral
UGCUGUUGCCAUGGUAACCCUGCUCAGUAGGAGAGAAACCUAAGGUUCAGACACUUGGUGUAAUGUGCUUGGCUGAGGAGCAAAUGAAGCGAAGCACAGUCUACGGGAUUAUGAUUUAAUGCCGCUAGGAAUCCCUCCCAGGCGGAAGGAUACGGAACACCAGGUGGAAGGAUUUGGAAACGCCAGGAAAGACUCACUUGGCGUCCUCCUCAGGCUGUGAGUAGGAAGUGUUCCACCAGCAUGGGGACCAGAGCCCUUCCGCCUGGAGCACCUGGUGGCCAGAAAGCAGCUGCCUGCUCACUCCUCACUCAACACAGGUAGGUGGGUUGUGGGGAAUCUGGUGCUAAACCAUUCCUAGACCAUCUGCUUCUGGUUCAGAGUUUCCUACCUAGCAGAGCAGCUCCUUCAGUGCGAUCUAUUGAAAGUCAGCCCUCACAGAAGGGUUU